UACGGAGGGUGCAAGCGUUAUCCGGAUUUACUGGGUUUAAAGGGUGCGCAGGCGGAUGUGUAAGUCAGUGGUGAAAUCUCCGGGCUUAACCCGGAAAUUGCCGUUGAUACUAUAUAUCUUGAAUGCUGUGGAGGUAAGCGGAAUAUGUCAUGUAGCGGUGAAAUCCUUAGAGAUGACAUAGAACACCUAUUGCGAAGGCAGCUUACUACGCAGAUAUUGACGCUCAUGCACGAAAGCGUGGGGAUCAAACAGG
This 253-nucleotide ribosomal RNA is filed under the name uncultured bacterium. RNAcentral describes it as "partial 16S ribosomal RNA". It matches the Rfam family "Bacterial small subunit ribosomal RNA", at positions 524 to 776 of the family's 1533-position model. The record is from RNAcentral.